UCUGGGCUCGUCUAACGGCAGGGCGCCGGACUCUGGAUCCGGUUAUCGAGGUUCGAAUCCUCGGCCCAGAA
RNAcentral lists this transfer RNA (71 nucleotides) under Deltaproteobacteria bacterium. Its description in RNAcentral is "tRNA-Gln". It matches the Rfam family "tRNA". Rfam says of the family: Transfer RNA (tRNA) molecules are approximately 80 nucleotides in length. Their secondary structure includes four short double-helical elements and three loops (D, anti-codon, and T loops). Lineage: Bacteria; Pseudomonadati; Myxococcota; Myxococcia. The record is from RNAcentral.